UAGGUUAAUGAGGCGAACCGGGGGAACUGAAACAUCUAAGUACCCCGAGGAAAAGAAAUCAACCGAGAUUCCCCCAGUAGCGGCGAGCGAACGGGGAGGAGCCCAGAGCCUGAAUCAGCAUGUGUGUUAGUGGAAGCGUCUGGAAAGGCGCGCGAUACAGGGUGACAGCCCCGUACACAAAAGCGCAUGUGCUGUGAGCUCGAUGAGUAGGGCGGGACACGUGGUAUCCUGUCUGAAUAUGGGGGGACCAUCCUCCAAGGCUAAAUACUCCUGACUGACCGAUAGUGAACCAGUACCGUGAGGGAAAGGCGAAAAGAACCCCGGCGAGGGGAGUGAAAAAGAACCUGAAACCGUGUACGUACAAGCAGUGGGAGCACCCUUUGGGUGUGACUGCGUACCUUUUGUAUAAUGGGUCAGCGACUUAUAUUCUGUAGCAAGGUUAACCGAAUAGGGGAGCCGGAGGGAAACCGAGUCUUAACCGGGCGUUAAGUUGCAGGGUAUAGACCCGAAACCCGGUGAUCUAGCCAUGGGCAGGUUGAAGGUUGGGUAACACUAACUGGAGGACCGAACCGACUAAUGUUGAAAAAUUAGCGGAUGACCUGUGGCUGGGGGUGAAAGGCCAAUCAAACCGGGAGAUAGCUGGUUCUCCCCGAAAGCUAUUUAGGUAGCGCCUCGUGAAUUCAUCUCCGGGGGUAGAGCACUGUUUCGGCUAGGGGGCCAUCCCGGCUUACCAACCCGAUGCAAACUGCGAAUACCGGAGAAUGUUAUCACGGGAGACACACGGCGGGUGCUAACGUCCGUCGUGAAGAGGGAAACAACCCAGACCGCCAGCUAAGGUCCCAAAGUCAUGGUUAAGUGGGAAACGAUGUGGGAAGGCCCAGACAGCCAGGAUGUUGGCUUAGAAGCAGCCAUCAUUUAAAGAAAGCGUAAUAGCUCACUGGUCGAGUCGGCCUGCGCGGAAGAUGUAACGGGGCUAAACCAUGCACCGAAGCUGCGGCAGCGACACUGUGUGUUGUUGGGUAGGGGAGCGUUCUGUAAGCCUGUGAAGGUGUGUCGUGAGGCAUGCUGGAGGUAUCAGAAGUGCGAAUGCUGACAUAAGUAACGAUAAAGCGGGUGAAAAGCCCGCUCGCCGGAAGACCAAGGGUUCCUGUCCAACGUUAAUCGGGGCAGGGUGAGUCGACCCCUAAGGCGAGGCCGAAAGGCGUAGUCGAUGGGAAACGGGUUAAUAUUCCCGUACUUGGUGUUACUGCGAAGGGGGGACGGAGAAGGCUAUGUUGGCCGGG
Molecule: ribosomal RNA, 1283 nt
Filed under: Salmonella enterica subsp. enterica serovar Enteritidis
Lineage: Bacteria; Pseudomonadati; Pseudomonadota; Gammaproteobacteria; Enterobacterales; Enterobacteriaceae
Description: partial 23S ribosomal RNA
Rfam family: Bacterial large subunit ribosomal RNA
Source: RNAcentral